GAGCUCCUUUUGUCUUCUCUUCCCAUCCCCCAGGUUUGGGAAAGUUUUCCUUUUGGGAAAGCCCCUCUCUUCAGCCUGCUGGCGGGUGUCGGAUUGGUUAGCGACCACCGGCCCCCGCCUCCCCCAACAGGAUUCUCCUUUGGGCCACAGGUCUUCCGGAAGUUGCCAAACCCCGGUAGCGGCAGCGUCCGGCUGGGGGCUUUAUUAGGGGGCACCGGGGUCUGCUUUCCGACUCCCUUCCGACUCCGCGCCUGCGCAGGAAGCGAUUUGGGGAGUGUUGUGAAUUCCGAGGGCUCCACACUUAAGAGGUUGUACACUCACCUGUCUACCUGGACUCCAAUUUCCAUAUUUCCAGCCACUUGAGGACUGAGAGGUGGAUGAUAAACCCUGUCAUAGUGGAGCAAGUUCAGGUGUUUAACCGCUGUUAUGGGGGAUCUGCCUUUUCUCCCUCUUCUUUCUUACUUCCAUAAGUAUGUAUGUGCAGAGAUUGAAAAAUAACCUUGAGAGAGUCCAUCCAUCUAACUCCAGGCAGAAUAGUUGCCUACUGCCCCAACCCCACCAAAUGUUCCAGCACCUCUGAUAUUACCUCACAUGGCAAGAGGGCUUUGAAGAUGUGAUUGAGUCAAGGAUCUUGAAUGGGGAGAUUAUCCUGAAUUAUUCAGCUGGACCCAGUGUAAUCACAAAGGUUUUUCAAAGAUGGAAGAGAGGCAGAAGAGCCAGAAAAGGAUAUGUGACAAUGGAGUCAGUGUCAGAGUUGGAGUGACGUGAUGUGAGAAGGAUUCAACCUGCUGUUUCUGGCUUUGAGGAUGAAAGAAGGGGCCAUGAGCCAAGCAAUACAGGUGGCUUCUUUCAAGAAGUUGGAAAAGUGGUAAUAUUUUAUGUUAUUUUGGUUUGAUUUUUGUUUGUGGCAUAUGGCUCUGCUGUCCUGUGACUCUAAGUAGAAGAGAAAAUAGUGCCAAUAAUUCUUCAUGGAGAUGCACCUCUCUCAAGUCUUGAACAAUGUUUGAGGAAAAGUGCUUUCAGCUGGGCUGAUGAGAACACCUUGGCACUCUUUCCUGCAAUGGGCACUGAUUGAGGGUCUUCCUGGUGUGGCAUCAUCAAAUCCCUGUUGCUCAAACCCACUAAUUAGCUCAUUCUUAUCUACAAGUAGCAGGGGCCCUAAAGCUCUCUGAGAAGAUCUCAUACUGUGUCUCCUACAUUUCAUCUUCUAUAAUCUCUUAUUCUUAGAGACAGAAAGAUGGUUAAAAGACAUCACUUCAUUUCUUUCUCUGGAUUUGGAAAGAGUUAUAUAUUGGGAUUAUGCUGUUAGUUUACACUUGCAUUGUUUAAAUUAGAGGAAAGGUUAUUUUGUGCAGAACAAAUAAAAAUUACUCUUUAACUACCUUUCAGAAUAUCCCAACUUUUAACAUAAGCUGUUUUGUAAAGGCUGGUUGUAGUGACUU
RNAcentral lists this long non-coding RNA (1442 nucleotides) under Homo sapiens (human). RNAcentral's name for it is "HSALNT0348238". Lineage: Eukaryota; Metazoa; Chordata; Mammalia; Primates; Hominidae. The record is from RNAcentral.